Molecule: unclassified non-coding RNA, 319 nt
Filed under: uncultured Ascomycota
Lineage: Eukaryota; Fungi; Ascomycota
Description: sequence contains ITS1
Rfam family: 5.8S ribosomal RNA (bases 1-105)
Source: RNAcentral
GAAAUGCGAUAAGUAGUGUGAAUUGCAGAAUUCAGUGAAUCAUCGAAUCUUUGAACGCACAUUGCGCCUUCUGGUAUUCCGGGAGGCAUGCCUGUUCGAGCGUCAUUAAAACCCUUCGGCGGAGAUUUUCUCGGCCGGUCAUGGGGGACGGAUCUCCCUUGGGACCUCCGCCCCCGAAAUCCAACGGCGGACUGCCACCGGUGUACGCAGCGUAGUAAGUCUAUUUCGCGGCCUCACCGACGGGACGUCCCGCCGGCCCAAACCCCCCAAAAAUUUCCAAGUUGACCUCGGAUCAGGUAGGGAUACCCGCUGAACUUAA